Molecule: ribosomal RNA, 207 nt
Filed under: uncultured bacterium
Lineage: Bacteria
Description: partial 16S ribosomal RNA
Rfam family: Bacterial small subunit ribosomal RNA
Source: RNAcentral
CGCGUAGGUGGAUUACUAAGUCAGAUGUGAAAGCCCAGGGCUCAACCUUGGAACUGCAUUUGAUACUGGUAGUCUUGAGUACAGUAGAGGGAGGUGGAAUUUCAGGUGUAGCGGUGAAAUGCGUAGAUAUCUGAAGGAACAUCAGUGGCGAAGGCGGCCUUCUGGACUGAUACUGACACUGAGGUGCGAAAGCGUGGGGAGCGAACA